GCCGGGCAUGGUGGCUCAUGCCUGUAAUCCCAGCACUUUGGGAGGCUGAGGCAGGCGGAUCACCUGAGGUCAGGAGUUCGAGACCAGCCUGGCCAACAUGGUGAAACCCCGUCUCCA
RNAcentral lists this non-coding RNA (117 nucleotides) under Theropithecus gelada (gelada). The record is from Rfam by way of RNAcentral. Lineage: Eukaryota; Metazoa; Chordata; Mammalia; Primates; Cercopithecidae.